This 473-nucleotide ribosomal RNA is filed under the name uncultured organism. Its description in RNAcentral is "partial 16S ribosomal RNA". It matches the Rfam family "Bacterial small subunit ribosomal RNA", at positions 333 to 797 of the family's 1533-position model. The record is from RNAcentral.
ACACUCCUGCGGGAGGCAGCAGUGGGGAAUUUUGGACAAUGGGCGAAAGCCUGAUCCAGCAAUGCCGCGUGAGUGAAGAAGGCCUUCGGGUUGUAAAGCUCUUUUGUCAGGGAAGAAACGGUGAAAGCUAAUAUCUUUUGCUAAUGACGGUACCUGAAGAAUAAGCACCGGCUAACUACGUGCCAGCAGCCGCGGUAAUACGUAGGGUGCAAGCGUUAAUCGGAAUUACUGGGCGUAAAGCGUGCGCAGGCGGUUUUGUAAGUCUGAUGUGAAAUCCCCGGGCUCAACCUGGGAAUUGCAUUGGAGACUGCAAGGCUAGAAUCUGGCAGAGGGGGGUAGAAUUCCACGUGUAGCAGUGAAAUGCGUAGAUAUGUGGAGGAACACCGAUGGCGAAGGCAGCCCCCUGGGUCAAGAUUGACGCUCAUGCACGAAAGGGUGGGGAGCAAACAGGAUUACAAACCCGAGUAGUCCCA